GACACUGAGGGUUCGAAAGCGUGGGUAGCAAACAGGAUUAGAUACCCUGGUAGUCCACGCCGUAAACGAUGUCUACUAGUCGUUGGGUCCCUUGAGGACUUAGUGACGCAGCUAACGCAAUAAGUAGACCGCCUGGGGAGUACGGCCGCAAGGUUAAAACUCAAAUGAAUUGACGGGGGCCCGCACAAGCGGUGGAGCAUGUGGUUUAAUUCGAUGCAACGCGAAGAACCUUACCUGGUCUUGACAUAUCUAGAAUCUUGUAGAGAUACGAGAGUGCCUUCGGGAAUUAGAAUACAGGUGCUGCAUGGCUGUCGUCAGCUCGUGUCGUGAGAUGUUGGGUUAAGUCCCGCAACGAGCGCAACCCUUGUCCUUAGUUACCAGCGGGUUAAGCCGGGAACUCUAAGGAUACUGCCAGUGACAAACUGGAGGAAGGCGGGGACGACGUCAAGUCAUCAUGGCCCUUACGACCAGGGCUACACACGUGCUACAAUGGUAGGUACAGAGGGCAGCUACACAGCGAUGUGAUGCGAAUCUUUUAAAGCCUAUCGUAGUCCAGAUUGGAGUCUGCAACUCGACUCCAUGAAGUAGGAAUCGCUAGUAAUCGCGGAUCAGAAUGCCGCGGUGAAUACGUUCCCGGGCCUUGUACACACCGCCCGUCACACCAUGGGAGUUGAUUGCACCAGAAGUGGUUAGCC
Molecule: ribosomal RNA, 695 nt
Filed under: uncultured bacterium
Lineage: Bacteria
Description: bacterial SSU rRNA
Rfam family: Bacterial small subunit ribosomal RNA
Source: RNAcentral